UGCAUACACGUCCCUGCUUUUCAAAAUGUGUCGAUAUUUUUGGACUAUAGGAGACAGAAAAAUAACUCAGCCAAAACUGUAAAGAACACUCACAGCAACACAACGGGAGUCUCUAAUCCUGCCUGCUGUGACUCUUCCGUGGACUGUUGCGCUGGUCAGAUAGAUGCGACAGAUCACAAAAAUGAGGAUGAUGGAGUCCAGUACACCAGCGUCCAGUUUAAGCCCAAAAACCAGCAGGAGGUGCCCAGCCAGGACGAGGGCGUCCAGUACGCCAGCGUCCAGUUCAGCAAAUCCAAACCAGAGCCCAACGUUCCUGAGCCGCCUCCAACUGUCAUGCCACAGGAGGAGACCCAGUACGCCUCACUGAAUCUGCAGGGACUCAGUGCUGCCACCCAAACAACGGCUGAAUCUGUGAUCUACAGCGCUGUCAAUACAAAUACCAAACCGUAACAGCAAGACACCAUGGUUUGAAGAAGACUACGGCUUGAUUUUAGGAUUGUCUGAUGAAAAGUGGUGUUUGCAUUGAUGCGUGUAGUUUAGGACUGUGUUAGUAAUCAAAUUAACCAAUUAGCCGUGAUGAUAGAUGAUUGUUUACACUUAUGAAAACAACAUUAUCGAAGCUUUGUUGUUCCAUGAACGGCAUGACAUGAACGGCAAUACUAUAUUACUAAAAUACUAUAUUUUGUGUUCCUGUUAUUCCACAAAUAUGGUUACUGCGCAUUGAUAGGAUAAGAUAGAGACAUGCACAUUGAGAUGGUAGUAAGUAACGUGACUGAGUUGAGUUUGAGUAAAGAGAGCAGCAAGCUCAC
This is a long non-coding RNA of Sardina pilchardus (European sardine), 809 nucleotides long. RefSeq lists it as uncharacterized. The transcript is spliced from 3 exons. The record is from RefSeq and is a predicted model, not a curated record. NCBI's taxonomy places the organism in Eukaryota, Metazoa, Chordata, Actinopteri, Clupeiformes, Clupeidae.